GGCCGGUUAGCUCAGUCGGUUGAACAUGGUGCUGAUAACACCAAGGUCAUGGGUUCAAUCCCCACUCGGUCC
Molecule: transfer RNA, 72 nt
Filed under: Apaloderma vittatum (bar-tailed trogon)
Lineage: Eukaryota; Metazoa; Chordata; Aves; Trogoniformes; Trogonidae
Rfam family: tRNA
About the family: Transfer RNA (tRNA) molecules are approximately 80 nucleotides in length. Their secondary structure includes four short double-helical elements and three loops (D, anti-codon, and T loops).
Source: Rfam by way of RNAcentral